CCCACUCUUAUUCUCAGAUCUCUUAUUUAUAGAUAAAUUUUUUAUCUUUUUCUGGUAGCAAAAAGAGUCUUAAAACUCUUAGAAAUCGUAUAAUACCUGUAUGAAUUAAUUCUGGCCAUCGGAUCUUCGUUGGAUCGCCCAGAUCAGCCCAACAAAUGUAGAUCAAAUCUUUAUCACAGUCAAAAAUGAUGCUGGCCAUCCGAUCGUGCAUUGAAUAAAAUCUGGGCUGUUGAUCAGUGCCUUUUAUCUCUUAUUCUCAGUUAAAAAUGGUGUCAGCCGUUGGAUCGAACUCUAGAUAGAUUUCUGACUGUUGGUUCACACUCAAAUUUUUUCUUUUCAACCGAUAAUGAACAGCAGCUGUUGGAUCUCGCUCAGAAUCAAUUUGAAUCGUCGAAUCGCAAAAAACUUCUUUCGCCCACCUGUGAACC
RNAcentral lists this long non-coding RNA (428 nucleotides) under Elaeis guineensis (African oil palm). Its description in RNAcentral is "long non-coding RNA (EGUI_LNC025816)". Lineage: Eukaryota; Viridiplantae; Streptophyta; Magnoliopsida; Arecales; Arecaceae. The record is from RNAcentral.